UCCCAGUGGGCUCAGCGGUAAAGAAUCUGCCUUCCAAGCAGGAGACGCAAGUUCGAUCCUUGGGUUGGGAA
RNAcentral lists this transfer RNA (71 nucleotides) under Capra hircus (goat). It matches the Rfam family "tRNA". Rfam says of the family: Transfer RNA (tRNA) molecules are approximately 80 nucleotides in length. Their secondary structure includes four short double-helical elements and three loops (D, anti-codon, and T loops). RNAcentral also lists the same sequence under 1 other name. The record is from Rfam by way of RNAcentral. Lineage: Eukaryota; Metazoa; Chordata; Mammalia; Artiodactyla; Bovidae.